Molecule: ribosomal RNA, 491 nt
Filed under: uncultured bacterium
Lineage: Bacteria
Description: partial 16S ribosomal RNA
Rfam family: Bacterial small subunit ribosomal RNA
Source: RNAcentral
GUGCACGCUGGCGGUAGGCCUAACACAUGCCAGUCGAACGGCAGCACAGUAAGAGCUUGCUCUUACGGGUGGCGAGUGGCGAACGGGUGAGGAAUACAUCGGAAUCUACUUUUUCGUGGGGGAUAACGUAGGGAAACUUACGCUAAUACCGCAUACGACCUACGGGUGAAAGCAGGGGAUCUUCGGACCUUGCGCGAUUGAAUGAGCCGAUGUCGGAUUAGCUAGUUGGCGGGGUAAAGGCCCACCAAGGCGACGAUCCGUAGCUGGUCUGAGAGGAUGAUCAGCCACACUGGAACUGAGACACGGUCCAGACUCCUACGGGAGGCAGCAGUGGGGAAUAUUGGACAAUGGGCGCAAGCCUGAUCCAGCCAUACCGCGUGGGUGAAGAAGGCCUUCGGGUUGUAAAGCCCUUUUGUUGGGAAAGAAAAGCAGCAGGUUAAUACCCCGCUGUUCUGACGGUACCCAAAGAAUAAGCACCGGCUAACUUCGUG